CGUCCAGAGGAGAUAAAAUCAUGCUUAAAAACUCAGAAAUAUGCACUUGAUGAAAAAGACCAUGAGCAAGAACUUCUUCCACUGCCUCUUUUAAUCUCGACAUCCAAAAGGGAUUACUUCUAUUAACCCGAAGAUGCAUCUCACUAGAUAAAUGCAAUAACGGCUCGAGAAGUUUAUCCAAAAAAUUAUGAAAUCCUUUCUUAGCUCGCUGGACACUCAACUUAGAGAAUGGCAG
This 235-nucleotide small RNA is filed under the name Vigna angularis var. angularis. Its description in RNAcentral is "Non-protein coding transcript". The record is from RNAcentral. Lineage: Eukaryota; Viridiplantae; Streptophyta; Magnoliopsida; Fabales; Fabaceae.